This 253-nucleotide ribosomal RNA is filed under the name uncultured bacterium. RNAcentral describes it as "partial 16S ribosomal RNA". It matches the Rfam family "Bacterial small subunit ribosomal RNA", at positions 524 to 776 of the family's 1533-position model. The record is from RNAcentral.
UACGUAGGGGGCAAGCGUUGUCCGGAUUUAUUGGGCGUAAAGAGCGUGUAGGCGGCCAGAAAAGUCCGCUGUGAAAACUCGAGGCUCAACUUCGAGCUGUCGGUGGAAACUUUCUGGCUAGAGUCCGGAAGAGGAGAAUGGAAUUCCUGGUGUAGCGGUGAAAUGCGCAGAUAUCAGGAAGAACACCCGUGGCGAAGGCGGCUCUCUGGGACGGUACUGACGCUGAGACGCGAAAGCGUGGGGAGCGAACAGG